AUUUCCUGGGACACACAGGACCGCUCCAGAAGCCAGCCCAGACUCGAGAAACCCAGGCGCCUCGGGGCAGCUCCCAUAGACAGCAGGCAGAGUAACGAAGGACAGCUACGGAAUCCACAAAGGACGGGAAAGGUGGCCGGCCAGGACAAAGACGCAGCGGACCUGUCACUGAGAGCUGGGGUGUGGGCCUCUUGUUGCCGCAAAGACAACGUCGUUGAACAGUGUCCCCUUGAAACCACAAGCCUGUCUGGGCUGGGAGUUGUCACGGUCCUCGAUUUGCAAAUCAA
Long non-coding RNA from Prionailurus viverrinus (fishing cat), 287 nucleotides. RefSeq lists it as uncharacterized. The transcript is spliced from 3 exons. NCBI's taxonomy places the organism in Eukaryota, Metazoa, Chordata, Mammalia, Carnivora, Felidae. The record is from RefSeq and is a predicted model, not a curated record.